RNAcentral lists this ribosomal RNA (265 nucleotides) under uncultured bacterium. RNAcentral's name for it is "partial 16S ribosomal RNA". It matches the Rfam family "Bacterial small subunit ribosomal RNA", at positions 91 to 354 of the family's 1533-position model. The record is from RNAcentral.
CGGACCGGCGCACGGGUGCGUAACGCGUAUGCAACCUACCUAUCAGGAGGGGGAUAACCCGGCGAAAGUCGGACUAAUACCGCAUGAAGCAGGGGCCCCGCAUGGGGAUAUUUGCUAAAGAUUCAUCGCUGAUAGAUAGGCAUGCGUUCCAUUAGGCAGUUGGCGGGGUAACGGCCCACCAAACCGACGAUGGAUAGGGGUUCUGAGAGGAAGGUCCCCCACAUUGGUACUGAGACACGGACCAAACUCCUACGGGAGGCAGCAG